CGAACGAUGAACCUCACUUUCGGGAGGGGAUUAGUGGCGAACGGGUGAGUAACACGUGGGCAAUCUGCCCUGCACUCUGGGACAAGCCCUGGAAACGGGGUCUAAUACCGGAUACGAGUUUCACAGGCAUCUGUGAUUCUGGAAAGCUCCGGCGGUGCAGGAUGAGCCCGCGGCCUAUCAGCUUGUUGGUGAGGUAACGGCUCACCAAGGCGACGACGGGUAGCCGGCCUGAGAGGGCGACCGGCCACACUGGGACUGAGACACGGCCCAGACUCCUACGGGAGGCAGCAGUGGGGAAUAUUGCACAAUGGGCGCAAGCCUGAUGCAGCGACGCCGCGUGAGGGAUGACGGCCUUCGGGUUGUAAACCUCUUUCAGCAGGGAAGAAGCGAAAGUGACGGUACCUGCAGAAGAAGCGCCGGCUAACUACGUGCCAGCAGCCGCGGUAAUACGUAGGGCGCAAGCGUUGUCCGGAAUUAUUGGGCGUAAAGAGCUCGUAGGCGGCUUGUCGCGUCGGAUGUGAAAGCCCGGGGCUUAACCCCGGGUCUGCAUUCGAUACGGGCAGGCUAGAGUUCGGUAGGGGAGAUCGGAAUUCCUGGUGUAGCGGUGAAAUGCGCAGAUAUCAGGAGGAACACCGGUGGCGAAGGCGGAUCUCUGGGCCGAUACUGACGCUGAGGAGCGAAAGCGUGGGGAGCGAACAGGAUUAGAUACCCUGGUAGUCCACGCCGUAAACGGUGGGCACUAGGUGUGGGCAACAUUCCACGUUGUCCGUGCCGCAGCUAACGCAUUAAGUGCCCCGCCUGGGGAGUACGGCC
RNAcentral lists this ribosomal RNA (813 nucleotides) under Streptomyces sp. RNAcentral's name for it is "bacterial SSU rRNA". It matches the Rfam family "Bacterial small subunit ribosomal RNA", at positions 63 to 887 of the family's 1533-position model. The record is from RNAcentral. Lineage: Bacteria; Bacillati; Actinomycetota; Actinomycetes; Kitasatosporales; Streptomycetaceae.